AGCGGCGGAUGGGUGAGUAACACGUGGGGAACCUACCCCUAAGUCUGGGAUACCAUUUGGAAACAGGUGCUAAUACCGGAUAAUAAAGCAGAUCGCAUGAUCAGCUUUUGAAAGGCGGCGUAAGCUGUCGCUAAGGGAUGGCCCCGCGGUGCAUUAGCUAGUUGGUAAGGUAACGGCUUACCAAGGCGACGAUGCAUAGCCGAGUUGAGAGACUGAUCGGCCACAUUGGGACUGAGACACGGCCCAAACUCCUACGGGAGGCAGCAGUAGGGAAUCUUCCACAAUGGACGCAAGUCUGAUGGAGCAACGCCGCGUGAGUGAAGAAGGUUUUCGGAUCGUAAAGCUCUGUUGUUGGUGAAGAAGGAUAGAGGUAGUAACUGGCCUUUAUUUGACGGUAAUCAACCAGAAAGUCACGGCUAACUACGUGCCAGCAGCCGCGGUAAUACGUAGGUGGCAAGCGUUGUCCGGAUUUAUUGAGCGUAAAGCGAGCGCAGGCGGAAAAAUAAGUCUAAUGUGAAAGCCCUCGGCUUAACCGAGGAACUGCAUCGGAAACUGUUUUUCUUGAGUGCAGAAGAGGAGAGUGGAACUCCAUGUGUAGCGGUGGAAUGCGUAGAUAUAUGGAAGAACACCAGUGGCGAAGGCGGCUCUCUGGUCUGCAACUGACGCUGAGGCUCGAAAGCAUGGGUAGCGAACAGGAUUAGAUACCCUGGGUAGUCCAUGCCGUAAACGAUGAGUGCUAAGUGU
This 744-nucleotide ribosomal RNA is filed under the name uncultured bacterium. RNAcentral's name for it is "bacterial SSU rRNA". It matches the Rfam family "Bacterial small subunit ribosomal RNA", at positions 94 to 823 of the family's 1533-position model. The record is from RNAcentral.